This 253-nucleotide ribosomal RNA is filed under the name uncultured bacterium. RNAcentral describes it as "partial 16S ribosomal RNA". It matches the Rfam family "Bacterial small subunit ribosomal RNA", at positions 524 to 776 of the family's 1533-position model. The record is from RNAcentral.
UACGUAGGGAGCAAGCGUUGUCCGGAAUCAUUGGGCGUAAGGCGCGCGUAGGCGGCCCUGUAAGUCCGUUGUGAAAGUCAAAGGCUCAACCUUUGAAAGCCGAUGGAUACUGCAGGGCUAGAGUCCGGAAGAGGCGAGUGGAAUUCCUGGUGUAGCGGUGGAAUGCGCAGAUAUCAGGAGGAACACCAAUAGCGAAGGCAGCUCGCUGGGACGGUACUGACGCUAAGGCGCGAAAGCGUGGGGAGCGAACAGG